CUUUGCUGACGAGUGGCGGACGGGUGAGUAAUGUCUGGGAAACUGCCUGAUGGAGGGGGAUAACUACUGGAAACGGUAGCUAAUACCGCAUAACGUCGCAAGACCAAAGAGGGGGACCUUCGGGCCUCUUGCCAUCGGAUGUGCCCAGAUGGGAUUAGCUAGUAGGUGGGGUAACGGCUCACCUAGGCGACGAUCCCUAGCUGGUCUGAGAGGAUGACCAGCCACACUGGAACUGAGACACGGUCCAGACUCCUACGGGAGGCAGCAGUGGGGAGUAUUGCACAAUGGGCGCAAGCCUGAUGCAGCCAUGCCGCGUGUAUGAAGAAGGCCUUCGGGUUGUAAAGUACUUUCAGCGGGGAGGAAGGGAGUAAAGUUAAUACCUUUGCUCAUUGACGUUACCCGCAGAAGAAGCACCGGCUAACUCCGUGCCAGCAGCCGCGGUAAUACGGAGGGUGCAAGCGUUAAUCGGAAUUACUGGGCGUAAAGCGCACGCAGGCGGUUUGUUAAGUCAGAUGUGAAAUCCCCGGGCUCAACCUGGGAACUGCAUCUGAUACUGGCAAGCUUGAGUCUCGUAGAGGGGGGUAGAACUCCAGGUGUAGCGGUGAAAUGCGUAGAGAUCUGGAGGAAUACCGGUGGCGAAGGCGGCCCCCUGGACGAAGACUGACGCUCAGGUG
Molecule: ribosomal RNA, 674 nt
Filed under: uncultured Escherichia sp.
Lineage: Bacteria; Pseudomonadati; Pseudomonadota; Gammaproteobacteria; Enterobacterales; Enterobacteriaceae
Description: bacterial SSU rRNA
Rfam family: Bacterial small subunit ribosomal RNA
Source: RNAcentral